This 41-nucleotide transfer RNA is filed under the name Gymnadenia conopsea. RNAcentral describes it as "partial tRNA-Leu". RNAcentral also lists the same sequence under 36 other names. The record is from RNAcentral. Lineage: Eukaryota; Viridiplantae; Streptophyta; Magnoliopsida; Asparagales; Orchidaceae.
AAUUUAUAGUAAGAGGAAAAUCCGUCGAAUUUUAAAAUCGU